This 7272-nucleotide unclassified non-coding RNA is filed under the name Haliotis rufescens (red abalone). RNAcentral's name for it is "f-box/LRR-repeat protein 7-like, transcript variant X1". The record is from RNAcentral. Lineage: Eukaryota; Metazoa; Mollusca; Gastropoda; Lepetellida; Haliotidae.
UGGGUGUGCAGAGGGACCAUUCACAGUGAGAAGGGACUCGUCAAAUCAGCCCACUCUAUUAACUGUUUAACGAGCCCUCGGACCAGCACUGCGUCUAACCCUGGUGGCUCGCCUUCCCUCUGCGAGGUGACCCAUGAAAAGGUCGGUCUCGCUGCGUUUGUUUUGGAUUUCGGCAGUACAAAGGCAGGUGUCCGUGGGGUAUAUCGUCGUGCCCUGUCUCUACACAUCAUCUCUGUUCAGUUUAAAACAGUGACCCAUUGGGUAUACCGCUGUUGCCCUGUACCUACCGCAUCGUGGAUCCCUGGAUCACUAAGUAUGUAGACCCGAAUAUCUAAUACGUACAUACAUAGAGUCAUCCCUCGCCGUUGACUGGGAAGCUGAUCUACGGAGCGACCACAACUCAAGUUUACAUUUCUUCCUAUACCCGUGUUACUAAACAAACAUCCGACACAUUGAAGAAGAUGUGUUUUGUUCAGCGGAUCUACAACGCGACCACUUAAUUGGAUGAAGUAUUGACACAGCUACAUCGCGACAGAUUAUAUCAUCAAAUGUGUUAUUGGGAUGACGUAUACCAUCUCCACCGAAAACAAGCUGUCUGAUGUGUUCAGCUCGCCGCCUGGGGCCAUGUUGCGUUAUUGUGUCGCGUCUUCUGCAGCCUUCUGACCGUGAGAUCUUGGGGUCCUGGGUCAGGGGUCAGCCAGCCGGGGAGAGGGGCUGUACUGCCGUGUAGUUGGCAGGGGACAGACGUGUGGGUCUCAAGCAGCGCGUGGCUCUCUAGCUGGUAGCAUCACGCUCAUUGACCCAAUCAACAUUUCCAAUCACAGGCCUUGGAAUGAUGCAAAGACAUGGAUUAAAUAUUCAAAGGAAUUUGGAUCGAUGUGUAUACAACAGCUUUAUAUUCCCCCGCACGGUGGGUAGCAGAUCAGGCGUGUCCCGGUCUACCUAGUAUGUUUCUCUGAGUUCAAUGUUCAUGGUUAACAGAAUAGGAUGUUUAUCGUCUGACGUCGAGCUGGGACAGAGAGCCACCUGGCCGACAGAUUUCUGUGAGGUCUUCUAGUGACAUUGUUCCGGUGUCGGCGGCCACGCUGACACCCAUAGCGUCAGACCCGGCACGGAUCGUGAGCCCGCAUGGCAGCUGCAUGACCCUAAGGUCUUGUUUUUAAGAAGAUUUGUUGACAUGUGACGGUUACUACAAUUCUGUCAGCCAUAACAGUAAGUUGGGGAGGACAAGCAUGGCAACAUAGACACGUGUGAUACACGUCUUGAACGAGCAAAAGUAGCAAGUACAGCCUCUGUAGGAGCAGGAACAUCAUCCAGGAGCCAAGGCCGUCACUAGAGGAGACGGAGCCGCAAUUGUGUGGAUCCAGGAAAGUCAUAGUAGGGAGCCACGAAUGUCACUGGAAGGAGCCAAUCCCGAGAGGGAAAGGAGCCAGUGCCAACAGUAAAAGGAGCCAGUCACGAUAGGGAAAGGAGCCAGUCCCGAGAGGGAAAGGAGCCAGUGCCAACAGUAAAAGGAGCGCGUGUCGACAGGGAAAGGACCAAUUCCAUCAGUGUAGGGAAACAAGGGAGCCAGUAUUCGUACCAAAAGGGGUCCCGACCCUUACUACAAAAAGGUAGGACCGCCAAUCGAUACGGAACCAUGACUGUUCCCCAGGGAGCUGGGACCAAUUCUGCAAGACAAUCACAGUUAUCGACUAACGAGAUAGAACUGCCAGUUUGUCGCGGUGACCUCCCUACUAAUUAGUGCAGUGUGCUGGUGCACGAGCAGCAGCAUCUCACGUGACAGGUAGGUAGGUGUAAUUGCCCAGGUGUUACUGCAACAGCGUGUGACGGCCACGCCUGGGUGGAUGGGAUACCUACUACAUGAACAUACUACUACAAAGACUAUGUGCCUACAAUGACAUGCCAUGGCUUCGGCUCACUGAUUUCUGUCUCUUUGUAACGAUCGAUGUAUCGACCACAGAAGCGUGUUCAACAGCGCAGUUAAGACCGGAACGUUAAUAACACCAUAGCUCCCGGCAACUUGACAAGACUGCAAAUCUUUAGUCUGACGGAUGGGAUGUACAUGUGAUUCUGAAGGUCGUCAUGAGGUCCAAGCCGGUGCCGUUGGCGUACACGAUGGACACCUACUGGUCUGUUGACCACAAAUAUCCGUAACCUGUAUCAAUUCCUAUCAGUGGUGGUAGGGCGCGUUAAUUCCUAUACUUUGACUGUAUGAUGGGCUUGUGGAAGAAUUUACUCCACGGUCGGCAAGGCAACCAACAAGCUAAGGCAGAUCGGCCAACCCUUGCUACAAACCCCGAACUAUCCGUGAGGUAUCACGGGGGUGUGGCCCGUAGCGACACCGCGUCCUACGUCUCUAUCGCCGCCAACAGUGACGAUGGGUCUGGGGGAGAGACCGACAACACGUAUGCAUCGAUCAAAUCAUGGGCCUUAUCGGACCAAGUCCAGCCGCCAGAUUCUGUUCAUGACUCCAGUUCAGGGAUUGCGUCAGACGUUGCGAGCUACAACUACCCGCCCACAACGAUGACGACUUUCAAGGGCGAGUCCAGCUCCUCUCAGGAUUCUGGCACAAAGAGUGUGACCUGGGCUCGUCUUCCCGGAGAGGCCAAGACUUCGAAUAAUUACGUCCAAAUGCACAUGCGCCAGUCAAGGUCGUGCUACAAGAACUCUGUGUUUGAUCCACGGAUGAUUGAAUCCAUGGAGUCGGUGAUGUCCAGUAUGAAACAAGUGGAACUAAAAGACACGAGUAGAUUACUUUCCUCUACAUCAACAAAAGGGAAAUAUGUCCGCCCAGCACCGUUCGAGCUCCUGACAGACGACAUCAUGCUCCGGAUUCUUCUCAACCUUCCAACAGACCAUGUGUGUCGCGUCACGCGCGUCUGUAAGCGCUGGUACAGACUGAUCUGGGAAUACCCACUCCUAUGGACAAGUAUAGUCAUAAACAAUGAAACCAUUAAUAUUGAUAAAGCUUUAAAAUAUCUCACAAGGCGUCUCAGUUACAAUACACCCAAGGUCUGUGUGAUUCUGGAACGGAUCAUUCUUAAUGGCUGUGAGCAGUUAACGGAUAAGGGACUUCAUACUAUUGCGAGACGCUGCCCCGAGCUGCGAUACCUUGAGCUGCAAGGCUGCUCAAACAUCACCAAUGUGGCCCUGUUUGAAGUAGUGUCCAACUGCGUCAACCUGGAACACCUUGAUGUGACAGGGUGUGCUCUGGUCACCUGCAUCAGCCUGACAGAUGGGAUGUCAUCCCCACACAUGGCCCGCCACCAGCACCAGAUAUACCUUCGAUACCUGGACAUGACAGACUGUUACGCCCUGGAGGACCAGGGCCUUGGUAUCAUCACCUCUCACUGUACACACCUCCAGUUUCUGUACCUACGACGAUGUGUCCACAUAUCUGACGAGGGUAUCCAACACAUUGCACGCAACUGUCCCUAUUUGCGUGAGUUCAGUGUUAGUGACUGUCGGAGAGUUACUGACCUUGGUAUGCGGGAACUCUCUAAGUUAGGAGAGAAUUUAAGAUACCUUAGUGUUGCAAAGUGUGAUAGAGUGUCAGAUGUUGGUGUUUGUUAUAUAGCAAAACAUUGUUUGAAGCUGCGGUAUCUGAAUGUCCGCGGAUGCGAAGCUGUAUCCGAUGAAGCGGUUGCAUUCCUGGCAGCUAACUGCCCCAGGUUACGGUCUCUUGACAUUGGGAAGUGUGAUAUAUCAGACGACGGACUACAGGUGCUUGCAGAACAGUGUCCGCAACUACGCAAACUCAGUCUCAAGUCAUGUGACCUGAUAACGGACCAAGGAAUUGUGAUGAUCGCGUAUCAGUGUCGGGGUCUGCAGCAGCUCAAUAUCCAGGACUGCCACCUCAGCGUUCAGGCCUACAGGACGGUCAAGAAGUACUGCAGGCGCUGCAUCAUUGAGCACACCAACCCCUCCUUCUGCUGAGAUACAACUCAGGAACUGCUACCAAGGUCACCAAACAGAAACUUGAAGUCACAAAGAAGUCAUUCAUAUGUGUGAGAGGGAAACACAACAUUUCCUUUUGUGGAUAUACCUGGAAAUAUGUGAUCUCAGCAAUCUAAGAUUUCUUUCAGUCUUACAGGAAUACGGCACUGGACAUAUCUGUGUUCAAGCAACCAAAGGCUGUGUUCAUUGCCCAACUAUCAUCAAGGUUAGGUUGUGUCAAGGGUUCUAGCCUGUUAAAUACAAGACAAUGAUUGUAUUACAACCAACUGUCAUCAAGGUUAGGUUGUGUCAAGGGUUCUAGCCUGUUAAAUACAAGGCAAUGAUUGUAUUACAACCAACUGUCAUCAAGGUUAGGUUGUGUCAAGGGUUCUAGCCUGUUAAAUACAAGACAAUGAUUGUAUUACAACCAACUAUCAUCAAGGUUAGGUUGUGUCAAGGGUUCUAGCCUAUUAAAUACAAGACAAUGAUUGUAUUACAACCAACUGUCAUCAAGGUUAGGUUGUGUCAAGGGUUCUAGCCUGUUAAAUACAAGACAAUGAGUGUAUUACAACCAACUGUCAUCAAGGUUAGGUUGUGUCAAGGGUUCUAGCCUGUUAAAUACAAGGCAAUGAUUGUAUUACAACCAACUGUCAUCAAGGUUAGGUUGUGUCAAGGGUUCUAGCCUGUUAAAUACAAGACAAUGAGUGUAUUACAACCAACUGUCAUCAAGGUUAGGUUUUGUCAAGGGUUCUAGCCUAUUAAAUACAAGACAAUGAGUGUAUUACAACCAACCGUCAUCAGUGGUUGGGUUGUUUAAGUACCCAACUGCUAUCCAAAAGUAAGGUUGCAUCAUAAGCCAGCUAUCGCCAGAGCUAGAUAAUGUGUCUGACCUUAUACCAUGCAACCAAGUCCACAGCUCUUGAUGGCGUCCGUUAUGAGGGCUACAUUUUGAGGAAGUUUCCAUCCUUCGCAUCCUAUGGAUGAGUAAACAUGCCAGUUUUCUAUGCAAACUUGUUUAAUCCACGGCUCCUAGCACUAUGUCUCACACAAAGGCAUGGCAACUCAGUGUAUGGAACCAAACAGGACCUCCAAGCAAUGGAAACACUCGGGACUAAGUUACUUUCCAACCAUGGCCAUUAUUCUUCGUUUGACGUUUGUACUGGGACUAUGAUACCUACUGCCUAGCUAUUAUAGUUGUUGACAAGACUAUGGCUUCGUAGUCACUAGUAGUUAUCCUAUAGCCAGUGGUUAACCCGAGAACAUAUUUAAAAUGGCUGUCAUGCCAUAUGUUCUAGCAAAAAAUGAAUGUAAUGUAAUGGCAAUCUUACCUAAUUGGGGUAUGUACAGUACAUUAUUGAGCUGGAUGGAUACAAUACUCAUUAACACAAAUCAUUAACAGAAUCUUCGAAGGAUAUAUCCUCAGUCAGAUCUGCCUCCAUUAUCAGACAGCUCAGAAAAGAUACGUCAGUAACAUGACCAACAUAAAUGUGCAUACACACAUGAGCCACACAGACUUCCAUACUCACACAUGGCCCUAACAGACCUCCAUACUCACACAUGGCCCUAACAGACCUCCAUACUCACACAUGAGCCACACAGACUUCCAUACUCACACAUGGCCCUAACAGACCUCCAUACUCACACAUGGCCCUAACAGACCUCCAUACUCACACAUGAGCCACACAGACUUCCAUACUCACACAUGGCCCUAACAGACCUCCAUACUCACACAUGGCCCUAACAGACCUCCAUACUCACACAUGAGGCACACAGACUUCCAUACUCACACAUGGCCCUAACAGACCUCCAUACUCACACAUGGCCCUAACAGACCUCCAUACUCACAUAUGAGCCUAACAGACCUCCAUACUCACACAUGAGCCACACAGACUUCCAUACUCACACAUGGCCCUAACACACCUCCAUACUCACACAUACUUACUCAUACAUACUCCAUAUUUACAAACACAGACCCCUACAGACUUUCAUACUUUCAUAUGGCCCUAUCAGACUUCCAUACCUAUAAUCCCUGGCCGCGUCAUACCAAAAGAUGUUAAAAGAUGGUACUUGUUGUUACCCUGUCUGGCAUUCGGCAUAAAGGGGCUAAAACAAGGACUGGUCGGCUCGGAGUCAGUAUACUUUUUUGAGUGGGGUAUUCAUUAAACCCAACGUUCAUUAAACGCGACGUUAAACCCAAUUUCACCUCACAACUCCAUACCUAUAAAUGGUCUAUACUCAACACCUGAACACAGGAACUGGUGACAUAUACAUAUGAUUGCAACAGACUGGGAAUUGUGACUUCAUUUAGGCCUCUACAUUUGGAUUAUUUGGUUUACAGGUUCUUGUUUUUCAAGAAGACAGGGUUGGUGGUUAAAAUAGAACUUAUGAAAUGUGUGAUUUCUGAAAAGAAUUAUCAGUGGAAUGCAAUAUGGAAACAAAGAAAUUAUUUUUAGUCCAGGAUCGAGUUACUUUAUGUCCCAGAUUUGGUUUAUAAUCUUGUUAAAAAUUUGACUGUGAGAGAAAAAGACUGUUAAUUUGAUUUUAUUCAAAAUAUGUGAUGUUUUGGUCCAGCUGAUCUGUAAAUCAUGCAAUCAAAAACAAAAUGCCUUAUUGACAAAGAUCAGCACCUGGGAAAGUCUCAAUAAGUCUGCUUUUGCAGAGAAAAGUACUCAUGCAUUCUAUGAUGCAUCAUAUCUUCAUGCUUGUAGAACUUGCGAAUUCAAAACGUACAUUAGCCUAAAAAUAUUGGCCAGCAGCUCCACACACCAUGUGCUGCAAGUACCAGUUGUUCCACACACCAUGUGCUACAUGUGCCCGUAGCUCCACACACCAUGUGCUACAUGUGCCUGUAGCUCCACACACCAUGUGCUACAUGUGCCCGUAGCUCCACACACCAUGUGGUACAUGUACCAGUAGCUCCACACACCAUGUGCUACAUGUGCCUGUAGCUCCACACACCAUGUGCUACAUGUACCUGUAGCUCCACACACCAUGUGCUACAUGUACCAGUAGCUCUACACACCAUGUGCUACAUGUACCAGUAGCUCCACACACCAUGUGCUACAUGUGCCCAUAGCUCCACACACCAUGUGCUACAUGUGCCCAUAGCUCCACACACCUUGUGCUACAUGUACCAGUAGCUCCAAACACCAUGUGCUACAUGUGCCUGUAGCUCCACACACCUUGUGCUACAUGUACCAGUAGCUCCACACACCAUGUGCUACAUGUGCCUGUAGCUCAACACACCAUGUGCUACAUGUACCAGUAGCUCCACACACCAUGCUCUACAUGUGCCUGUAGCUCCACACACCAUGUGCUACUUGCACCAGUAGC